GUGGGGAAUCUUGCACAAUGGGCGAAAGCCUGAUGCAGCAACGCCGCGUGAGCGAAGAAGGCCUUUGGGUCGUAAAGCUCUGUCCUAAGGGAAGAAGGAAGUGACGGUACCUUAGGAGGAAGCCCCGGCUAACUACGUGCCAGCAGCCGCGGUAAUACGUAGGGGGCAAGCGUUAUCCGGAAUUAUUGGGCGUAAAGAGUACGUAGGCGGUUCUUUAAGCGCAGGGUUUAAGGCGAUGGCUUAACUAUCGUUCGCCCUGUGAACUGGGGGACUUGAGUAUCGGAGAGGAAAGCGGAAUUCCUAGUGUAGCGGUGAAAUGCGUAGAUAUUAGGAGGAACACCAGUGGCGAAGGCGGCUUUCUGGACGAAAACUGACGCUGAGGUACGAAAGCGUGGGGAGCAAACAGGA
RNAcentral lists this ribosomal RNA (408 nucleotides) under uncultured bacterium. RNAcentral's name for it is "bacterial SSU rRNA". It matches the Rfam family "Bacterial small subunit ribosomal RNA", at positions 354 to 777 of the family's 1533-position model. The record is from RNAcentral.